This 46-nucleotide non-coding RNA is filed under the name Trichobilharzia regenti. The record is from RNAcentral. Lineage: Eukaryota; Metazoa; Platyhelminthes; Trematoda; Strigeidida; Schistosomatidae.
GUACUGAUGAAGAGUCCCACACUAGGACGAAACGGCUGUCCAGUAC